This is a long non-coding RNA of Capra hircus (goat), 3578 nucleotides long. RefSeq lists it as uncharacterized. NCBI's taxonomy places the organism in Eukaryota, Metazoa, Chordata, Mammalia, Artiodactyla, Bovidae. The record is from RefSeq and is a predicted model, not a curated record. The transcript is spliced from 3 exons.
GUAGCAGAAGAAGCUUUAGUGCUGGUGGUAAAAGGCCAGACCAUGAAGAGGCAAGUGACAGAUGCAGGGGUGAGUCCCGAGAAGGGGGAGAGAGUGCAUCCAGAGGCCAGGAGGGAAGAGGAUAGGAGAGAAAGUAGAGCAAGCAUGUGGUUGGAAAAGUUAGGCAUGGUGACCUGAUUGGAACUGGAGGCAGUAGGGGCCUGAUGGAAGGGCACGCUUGGAGAAGAGUGGCCGGGUUGUUAGCUCAGGCCAACAUAAUGAGGUUUGGUGUGGGCUCCUUAUGCAUCUCAGAUGUCCAUGUGAGGAGGUGCUACAGUGAGACUGUGGCCAGAAGUUAAAAGGGAAGCAGCGUGUGACCAUCCCAGACUCCCUAACUGUCCCUUCCCCCUGGCAACCAUAAGUCCACUUUCAAUGUCUGUGAGUCUCUUUCUGUUUUGUAAGGAAGUUCAUUUGCGUCAUUUCUCCUUAGAAAUGCUAUAUUUUAAAUGGAUAACCAACAAGGACCUAGAACCUAAAACACUGCUAUAUUUAAAGUAGAAACCCAACAAGGACUAUUGCAUAGCACAUGGGAGUCUGCUCAGUGUUGUGUGGCAGCCUGGAUGGGAGCGGAGGUUUGGGGGAGAUGGAUGCAUGUAUGUGCAUGGCUGAGUCCCUUUGCUGUUCACCUGAGUCUAUCGCAACAUUGUUAAUCAACUAAACCCCAAUACAAAAUUAAAAGUUCAAAAAAAAAAAAAAAGAAGAAAAGGGAAGAGCACAGCAAGCUCCCACUGGGUGUUCUCACACGGACUGUGUUCUCUAAUCCCUUGAGAUGGUCAGAGACAGAGGGAGUAGCCACACCAGCCCCUAAUUUUCCUCUCCCCGUUUCAUAACAACUUCCUAAAGAAAUAGUCUAAACUUUUAUUUACCUUUCCUUCCUCAAUCCACUUCACUUACGUUCCUGUUUCCCUCUGCCAUUGAAAUUUCUCUCUUCAGGGUUAAGUAUCCUCCAACUUGCCAAAUCUAAUGUCUUCUCCUUACUAUACCGCUUAGCAGCAUUUGACUGCUCACAGCUCCCUUCUUUAAAUUUUUCCUUUUUUUAAAUUUUGGCUCCUGUUAUUCCAGACUCUUCCAGUGUUCUUACCUUUUUGAUGCCUCUUCAGCCUGGUAUCUCACAUUAGAAUCCCCUAGUUUGGGCCUACACUCUACCUGCCCUCACUCUCUAGGUGAUUUUACCUAGUCCAGGGUUUUAAACCCCAUCUGCAUACUGAAGACUUUUGAUCUGUUCUCUUCACUUCUGAUGGACCUUUUCUUUGAGUGUCAGGCUCAAACUCAGCUGCCUACCUGAUGUGUUCAUUUGGGGCUACUAGAUACCAAUACCCUAAUGUGUCCAAACUCAUUUCUGCUCCCACCAAACACACACACCUCCUGCCCUAGUCUUUUCUGAUCUUAAUAAAAGGAACCAUUUGUCACCUAGUUGCCCACUUCCCCAAGCUAAGUCAUUCUUGAAACCACUCUUUUCCCUUCCCCACUCUGACCAAUAUCCAAGGCAUUGGAUAAUGCUAUGGACUCAACUUCCAGAAUACAUUAUGAUGACUGCUCACCACCUCUGUGCUGUUUCCCCAGUCCAAGUUGUCGUCACCUCUAAUCCAGACAGCUGCGAGAACUCUUCACCUGAUUCCCUGGUUAUACAAUUAUAGCUCUGUGACUUACAUUCCAUAAGAAACCAGGAUGAUCUUUUAAAAAAUUAAGUCAGAACAGAUCAUGGCCCUGCUCAAGAUCCCCUCCUGGCUUCCUUUUACAGUUGAAAACCCUUACCAGGCCCAUGAUAUAAGCUUUUUUCUUUUUUGGUUGGUCCAUACACGGCUUGCAGGAAAUUGGUUCUCCGACCAAGGACAGAACCCUGGGCCCUCAGCAGUGGACACAUAGAGUCCUAACCCCUGGACCACCAGGGAAUGCCCAGACCCAUGUGAUCUGGCUCCUUCUCCCUCUUUUGAAGCCACUCAUCUGCUCUCUCCCAGCACUCAACACACUGGCCUCCUCUCUUGACUCCUCAAAUUAUUUGCUGUUCACCUUCCCUAAAAUGCUUCUCCUCCAUUGCUUUAUGGGGCUACUUUCUCUUUAUCACUGAAAUCUCAGCUCAAAAGUCAUCUCUUCAGGAUUACGCUGGUGGUCUGGUGGCUAAGACUCCAUGCUUCCUAUGCAGGAACCUGGGUUUAAUCAAUCCCUGGUCAGGGAGCAAGAUCUUACAUGCCGCAACUAAGGUUGGUACAGACAAAUAAAUAAUAAAUAGAAUAAAUAUUUUUUAAAAAAUCAUCUCUCAGAGAAGGGGCCCAUCAUUCUCUUCACCUCUAUCCAAUUAUUCUAUCCUAUUUUCUUCACAGCUUUUUGACACUUAACAUUUUUUUUUAUAUUUUAAAAUAUCAACAACUCACAAAUCCAUUUAUACUAGCUUCAAAUGGUAUUUGGGAGUAAGAAAUAUUCUAAUGUUCCCAGGACAUUUCACAGCUACUAACACUGCCUGAAAGUAUUCUCUUUCAUUUUCUCUUUUUUUAUCAUCUCUGUCUCCAGCAGGCUCUAUAAGGGUAAUUGUCUUGUCUGCCAUGUUGAUCACUGUAUCCCAGUGCCUAGAACAAUGCCCAGUGCCUAUCCGGUGCUUGAUAAAUAGUCGGUGUUACCAUGCAGCCACAAGCUCUCUUUAUGUGUAUUAACCAGGCAAGUCUCAGUGACCACAUGUCCACCUUUGCCUUCUGAUGAAACUACCCUGCUCAUGGCUCCUAUAUUGAGAAUCAGAGAUAUGCUGCUCUUUGGGCAGAAGAAAUAAGUGCUGAACCCCAGUCUAUCAAUAGCCAAUGCAGAGGCCAACCAGCAGCCACUUUAAUGUGGUCUGGAAUAAAACUAUGGGGCUGGGCCCAUCCCAUUCUCCUCUGGAAAGCCAGUAGGAAAAAGAGCAACCGAGGCAGUUAUGAGUUGUAUCUGAGGCUAAAAGAUCCUAACUAGAGAAAAUCAAGAGGACAUAAUGGUCCAUGUGUGAGCCAAAGGUGGGAAAGCAGAAAGAAUGGAUUAGAAACCUUGAGCUAGAGACAAGAGAUUCAUCAAUAAGGGAGAGGGGAGAACUGGCCCUUUGCUGAACAGCUGGGUUGUACUGGUGUUUUUGCCAACAUAGUGAGUUCCCAGCUUGGCUGGGUACUUUUAACAUAACGGUGUUCUCUCAACAGCUAUGGAACAUCUCUAAUGCUCUUGAUUUAGGAUUUCAGCUGCAUUCUGUUUAUGCGCACAUGGCCUUGAGAUUCCACGAUCUCGCCAUGGUUUCAGGUGGACAGCAAAGCCCUUCAGUGACUUUUGAGCAGUGACUGGCCCAGGCCAUUGAUGUUCAACAUGACUCUUCACCUUGUUGAUGCGUCUGGGUACCCAUAAAGGUGCAAAUAAAAGAGAAGUCACUCCAACGAGAAGGCUGCACAUCACUGCUGAAGAGUGGCCCCCACUCACCGCAACUAAGGAAAGCCAGGGUGCUGCAGUGAAGACCUGGAGCAGCAGAAAUGACACAAGGAGAUUAGUUUUCCUAAAGUUCAGUUCAGUUCAGUCUCUGAGUCGUGUCCGAC